GACGAACGCUGGCGGCGUGCCUAAUACAUGCAAGUCGAACGCUUCUUUCCUCCCGAGUGCUUGCACUCAAUUGGAAAGAGGAGUGGCGGACGGGUGAGUAACACGUGGGUAACCUACCCAUCAGAGGGGGAUAACACUUGGAAACAGGUGCUAAUACCGCAUAACAGUUUAUGCCGCAUGGCAUAAGAGUGAAAGGCGCUUUCGGGUGUCGUUGAUGGAUGGACCCGCGGUGCAUUAACUAGUUGGUGAGGUAACGGCUCACCAAGGCCACGAUGCAUAGCCGACCUGAGAGGGUGAUCGGCCACACUGGGACUGAGACACGGCCCAGACUCCUACGGGAGGCAGCAGUAGGGAAUCUUCGGCAAUGGACGAAAGUCUGACCGAGCAACGCCGCGUGAGUGAAGAAGGUUUUCGGAUCGUAAAACUCUGUUGUUAGAGAAGAACAAGGACGUUAGUAACUGAACGUCCCCUGACGGUAUCUAACCAGAAAGCCACGGCUAACUACGUG
This 508-nucleotide ribosomal RNA is filed under the name uncultured bacterium. RNAcentral's name for it is "partial 16S ribosomal RNA". It matches the Rfam family "Bacterial small subunit ribosomal RNA", at positions 28 to 507 of the family's 1533-position model. The record is from RNAcentral.